GUGCUCGCUUCAGUAACACAUAUACUAAAACUGGAAUGCUACAGAGAAGAUUAGCACAGCCCCUGAACAAGGAUGACAUCCAAAUUCCUGAAGUGUUCCAUUACAAA
Small nuclear RNA from Otolemur garnettii (small-eared galago), 107 nucleotides. Lineage: Eukaryota; Metazoa; Chordata; Mammalia; Primates; Galagidae. The record is from Ensembl.